AUCACUUAGUUGCAGACUCCUGCGUAGAACAGACAUCAAUAUGAAGAUUAUUCUAGUACUUACACUCCUUCUCAUCGGAAUCAUCGUGGUGGAGACCCGGGCCUCCGUGAGAUGUACUACAGAGUUUUAUCCCGUUUGCGGCACCAAUGGCAAAUCAUACUCCAAUCGUUGUCUGUUGAGUGCAGCGGGGGUCAAAAUGGCGCACGCAGGCGAAUGCAAACAGCUUAGAAUACUUGACAGUUUGAUGUAAAUUCUUUACCGUAAUAAGUUAGUUUAGUUAAAAUAUAAAACAAAUAUUGAUCAACGUAUUUUUUUUCAAUGUUUAAGUAGUCAUAAGGUGGUUAAUCGUCUGAUUCGUCCCGCUACGGAACGCGGAGCGACGGAGCAGGAGUUCUGCCAUACUUCGGUGUAAUCUGCUCAACCGCGCGGUGAUGCGGAUGACGCCCUCGCGCUAAAUAAACUCAUGUGUUCAGUGUAUUGUCGAUCGUCGUGGAGAAUGGACAAACUCAUUCAAUUUUAAGAUGUUGCAAUUAUAUUGUCGUUUUGGUUUUUUAAAUCAUGUAAUCAGCAUCAUUUUACAAUUCAAUAUCUUCUCUAAUAAAAAGAAAAUCGAAUCAUGUACUAAAAAUAUGUAUCACGCGCCCCGCGCUUCCGCGCGGAUUGGCGGAAACUGCGCGCAUUUCUACGUCGGCAGUGUGUUGUGCUAAGCGUGAUUUCUGAAUAAAUUGAGAUACUUGCAUACAAUGGCAAAAUUAUAUGAUUUAAUUACUGGUUAAUAAAUA
Molecule: long non-coding RNA, 782 nt
Organism: Helicoverpa zea (corn earworm)
Lineage: Eukaryota; Metazoa; Arthropoda; Insecta; Lepidoptera; Noctuidae
Exons: 3
Source: RefSeq, a predicted model, not a curated record